This 139-nucleotide transfer RNA is filed under the name Ideonella sp. RNAcentral's name for it is "tRNA-Glu". The record is from RNAcentral. Lineage: Bacteria; Pseudomonadati; Pseudomonadota; Betaproteobacteria; Burkholderiales; Sphaerotilaceae.
GUCGCGUUCGUCUACCUGGCCCAGGACACCGGGAUUUCAGUCCGGUUACGCGGGUUCGGUCAGCGCGUAGCGCUGGACGCGCCGCAGGCGCGGGCCGAAGGCCGAGGGCGCAGCCCGAGCAAUCCCGCACGCGAUGCCA